RNAcentral lists this ribosomal RNA (445 nucleotides) under Acinetobacter schindleri. RNAcentral's name for it is "bacterial SSU rRNA". It matches the Rfam family "Bacterial small subunit ribosomal RNA", at positions 62 to 508 of the family's 1533-position model. Lineage: Bacteria; Pseudomonadati; Pseudomonadota; Gammaproteobacteria; Moraxellales; Moraxellaceae. The record is from RNAcentral.
UCGAGCGGGGAAAGGUAGCUUGUCUGGACCUAGCGGCGGCGGGUGAGUAAUGCUUAGGAUCUGCCUAUUAGUGGGGGAAACAUUCCGAAAGGAAUGCUAAUACCGCAUACGCCCUACGGGGGAAAGCAGGGGAUCUUCGGACCUUGCGCUAAUAGAUGAGCCUAAGUCGGAUUAGCUAGUUGGUGGGGAAAGGCCUACCAAGGCGACGAUCUGUAGCGGGUCUGAGAGGAUGAUCCGCCACACUGGGACUGAGACACGGCCCAGACUCCUACGGGAGGCAGCAGUGGGGAAUAUUGGACAAUGGGCGGAAGCCUGAUCCAGCCAUGCCGCGUGUGUGAAGAAGGCCUUUUGGUUGUAAAGCACUUUAAGCGAGGAGGAGGCUCCUUUAGUUAAUACCUAAAGAGAGUGGACGUUACUCGCAGAAUAAGCACCGCUAACUCUGUGC